AGAGUGAACGCUGGCGGCAGGCCUAACACAUGCAAGUCGAACGGCAGCACAGAGGAGCUUGCUCCUUGGGUGGCGAGUGGCGGACGGGUGAGGAAUACAUCGGAAUCUGCCCGAUCGUGGGGGAUAACGUAGGGAAACUUACGCUAAUACCGCAUACGACCUUAGGGUGAAAGCGUGGGACCGCAAGGCCACGCGCGAUUGGAUGAGCCGAUGUCGGAUUAGCUUGUUGGCGGGGUAAAGCCACCAAGGCGACGAUCCGUAGCUGGUCUGAGAGGAUGAUCAGCCACACUGGAACUGAGACACGGUCCAGACUCCGUACGGGAGCAGCAGUGGGAAUAUUGGACAAGU
RNAcentral lists this ribosomal RNA (348 nucleotides) under uncultured soil bacterium. RNAcentral's name for it is "bacterial SSU rRNA". It matches the Rfam family "Bacterial small subunit ribosomal RNA", at positions 26 to 373 of the family's 1533-position model. The record is from RNAcentral.